RNAcentral lists this unclassified non-coding RNA (309 nucleotides) under Hevea brasiliensis (rubber tree). Lineage: Eukaryota; Viridiplantae; Streptophyta; Magnoliopsida; Malpighiales; Euphorbiaceae. The record is from RNAcentral.
GGUCAUGAAACCGCGGCCGCAACCCGCCAGCGCAACAAGGACAAGGGAGCCGACGACGAACCAACUCACUCCACGCGUCAUCCGCGCAAGUUCACCGAAGAUAAUUAAAGACUCUUCAACGCAUUGUUAUUCAAGGUUUUUUAACCAUGUUGGCGCGCCGCGGCCGAUGAUCCGUCAGCAGGUCUGACUUUUUUGAAGGGGGAACGUCUUGGUAGCGUCCGCGUUACAUGACCCAGCGUUGNNNNNNNAUUCCCCAUGACCAUCGUCGGACCUCUGAGCGUCGUUGCAGCGUAUGCGUCGUUUAUUCUU